Molecule: ribosomal RNA, 119 nt
Filed under: Pteropus alecto (black flying fox)
Lineage: Eukaryota; Metazoa; Chordata; Mammalia; Chiroptera; Pteropodidae
Source: RNAcentral
UCCUACAGCCACACCACCCUGAACGAGCCCCGUCCCGUCUGAUCGCGGAAGCUAAGCAGGGUUGGGCCUGAUCAGUACUUGGAUGGGAGACCGCCUAGGAAGACCAGGUGCUGUAGGCG